AAUCCAUAGGUUAAUGAGGCGAACCGGGGGAACUGAAACAUCUAAGUACCCCGAGGAAAAGAAAUCAACCGAGAUUCCCCCAGUAGCGGCGAGCGAACGGGGAGGAGCCCAGAGCCUGAAUCAGCAUGUGUGUUAGUGGAAGCGUCUGGAAAGGCGCGCGAUACAGGGUGACAGCCCCGUACACAAAAGCGCAUGUGCUGUGAGCUCGAUGAGUAGGGCGGGACACGUGGUAUCCUGUCUGAAUAUGGGGGGACCAUCCUCCAAGGCUAAAUACUCCUGACUGACCGAUAGUGAACCAGUACCGUGAGGGAAAGGCGAAAAGAACCCCGGCGAGGGGAGUGAAAAAGAACCUGAAACCGUGUACGUACAAGCAGUGGGAGCCCCACCACCAAAGCAUUUGCUGUACCGCGUUGACGGAGCGAAGCGACGUCAAACCGAUAAAACAGCAGUGUAAAGUGAGCCGCAGGGCGCUUUGCGCGACAGCGCAAAGGCAGGCGGUUUCGCGUAGCGAAAGCGAAUGCUUUGGGGUGGGGUGACUGCGUACCUUUUGUAUAAUGGGUCAGCGACUUAUAUUCUGUAGCAAGGUUAACCGAAUAGGGGAGCCGGAGGGAAACCGAGUCUUAAUUGGGCGUUAAGUUGCAGGGUAUAGACCCGAAACCCGGUGAUCUAGCCAUGGGCAGGUUGAAGGUUGGGUAACACUAACUGGAGGACCGAACCGACUAAUGUUGAAAAAUUAGCGGAUGACCUGUGGCUGGGGGUGAAAGGCCAAUCAAACCGGGAGAUAGCUGGUUCUCCCCGAAAGCUAUUUAGGUAGCGCCUCGUGAAUUCAUCUCCGGGGGUAGAGCACUGUUUCGGCUAGGGGGCCAUCCCGGCUUACCAACCCGAUGCAAACUGCGAAUACCGGAGAAUGUUAUCACGGGAGACACACGGCGGGUGCUAACGUCCGUCGUGAAGAGGGAAACAACCCAGACCGCCAGCUAAGGUCCCAAAGUCAUGGUUAAGUGGGAAACGAUGUGGGAAGGCCCAGACAGCCAGGAUGUUGGCUUAGAAGCAGCCAUCAUUUAAAGAAAGCGUAAUAGCUCACUGGUCGAGUCGGCCUGCGCGGAAGAUGUAACGGGGCUAAACCAUGCACCGAAGCUGCGGCAGCG
Molecule: ribosomal RNA, 1148 nt
Filed under: Salmonella enterica subsp. enterica
Lineage: Bacteria; Pseudomonadati; Pseudomonadota; Gammaproteobacteria; Enterobacterales; Enterobacteriaceae
Description: partial 23S ribosomal RNA
Rfam family: Bacterial large subunit ribosomal RNA
Source: RNAcentral